UGGGGAAUAUUGCACAAUGGAGGGAACUCUGAUGCAGCGACGCCGCGUGAGUGAUGAAGGAAUUCGUUUCGUAAAACUCUGUUCUAUGGGAAGAAAAGGACUGUACCAUAGGAGAAAGCUCCGGCUAAAUACGUGCCAGCAGCCGCGGUAAUACGUAUGGAGCGAGCGUUGUCCGGAAUUAUUGGGCGUAAAGGGUGCGCAGGCGGCUUUACAAGUUGGAUGUGAAAUAUUGUGGCUCAACCACAAACGUGCAUCCAAAACUGCACAGCUUGAGUAAAGGAGAGGUAAGUGGAAUUCCUGGUGUAGCGGUGGAAUGCGUAGAUAUCAGGAGGAAUACCGGUGGCGCAGGCGACUUACUGGACUUAAACUGACGCUCAGGCACGAAAGCGUGGGGAGCAAACAGG
Molecule: ribosomal RNA, 404 nt
Filed under: Fusobacteriota bacterium
Lineage: Bacteria; Fusobacteriati; Fusobacteriota
Description: Fusobacteria bacterium partial 16S ribosomal RNA
Rfam family: Bacterial small subunit ribosomal RNA
Source: RNAcentral